RNAcentral lists this ribosomal RNA (25 nucleotides) under Prorocentrum arabianum. RNAcentral describes it as "partial large subunit ribosomal RNA". Lineage: Eukaryota; Dinophyceae; Prorocentrales; Prorocentraceae. The record is from RNAcentral.
AACGACAUGAANCUUAACUGGACCA